GAGGGUAUAGCUCAAUGGUAGAGUGCAUGCUUAGCAUGUGUGAGGUCCUGGGUUCAAUCCCCAGUACCGCCA
RNAcentral lists this transfer RNA (72 nucleotides) under Camelus bactrianus (Bactrian camel). It matches the Rfam family "tRNA". Rfam says of the family: Transfer RNA (tRNA) molecules are approximately 80 nucleotides in length. The record is from Rfam by way of RNAcentral. RNAcentral also lists the same sequence under 2 other names. Lineage: Eukaryota; Metazoa; Chordata; Mammalia; Artiodactyla; Camelidae.